This 255-nucleotide ribosomal RNA is filed under the name uncultured bacterium. RNAcentral's name for it is "partial 16S ribosomal RNA". It matches the Rfam family "Bacterial small subunit ribosomal RNA", at positions 99 to 354 of the family's 1533-position model. The record is from RNAcentral.
CGAACGGGUGAGUAACGCGUGGGUAACCUGCCCUGUACAGGGGGAUAACAGUUGGAAACGGCUGCUAAAACCGCAUAACAUGGAGAUACCGCAUGAUAUUUCCAUCAAAUAUUUAUAGGUACAGGAUGGGCCCGCGUCUGAUUAGCCAGUUGGCAGGGUAAUGGCCUACCAAAGCGACGAUCAGUAGCCGGCUUGAGAGAGUGACCGGCCACAUUGGGACUGAGACACGGCCCAAACUCCUACGGAAGGCAGCAG